GGGUUGCUGGGUGAGCUUUGGUCAUCCAUAUUAAGUGGCUGUUUAAUGGAGCAAACAGCAUCCAUUGACAAUGUUAAGGGGUGCGAGGGAGGUGGAUGGCGAUUUCCGUGUCAGACUGGGGGAACUGGAAUGAAGCUCAGGGAUUACUCCCUCAGACAUUUUCAUAGAGAAGGCAAAUUGAAAAGGGAAGAAAAAAUCCUGGCAAACAAUUCAUGUUUGUCACCUGGUUUUCUCUCACUGGGGCUGCAUUUCCUUAUCAGCUGUGUGCAGUUUUUCCGCAGUUUUUUCUUUUGUUUUUCACCUCAGCUCUAAAGCCUGCCACGGCUGCUCUGAGCCCUUUUUCCCUGAAAGCCUGCGGCGGGGUUAAGCUAGGAACCAUUAGUGCUUGGCUUUAACCCCUGUGAACUUCAUGUGUUUCACCACCUGAGGAGGAACUUGUGCUGAUCUUUUCCUGGGUCACACGUGGGCGGAUUCUCACAGAAGAUCAGGGGUUGCUGUCUAAUGUGAGGACACGUUUUAGGGAGAUUAAGCCAAGUUACUUCAUGGGUGAUCUGAACUACUGGGAGCAGGUUUGAUUGAACACAGUCUGACUGCUGCAGGAAGGAAGGACCUCCUUCAAACAUUGUGGGUGAAGCAGUCUGUCCCUGAAGGAGCUGCCGGUGAUGGUCCUGUUUCCUGCAGGGGGUGGGAGAUGUCCUCCAUGAUAGACAACAGCUUUGUCAUCAUCCUCCUGUCUAACACCAGCCCAGGACAGAGCUUGCUUUCUUAACCAGUUUCUUUAGUCUCUUCCUGUCUGCAGCCGUGAUGCUGCUGCUCCAGCAGACCACUCCAUACAGGAUGGCUGAUACCACCACACAACCAUAAAAGGUCCUCAGAAUUGCUCCCUGCACCCCGAAGGACCUCAGUUUCCUGAGCAGGUGAAGUCUGUUCUGACCUGUCUUACACCGUGCGUUGGUGUUCUAUCUCUAGACAUGUUUGAAUGUCUUUAUCAAUAAAUGGUCAAACACA
Molecule: long non-coding RNA, 1008 nt
Organism: Amphiprion ocellaris (clown anemonefish)
Lineage: Eukaryota; Metazoa; Chordata; Actinopteri; Pomacentridae
Exons: 2
Source: RefSeq, a predicted model, not a curated record